GAGUUUGAUCAUGGCUCAGGAUUAACGCUGGCGGCGUGCCUAACACAUGCAAGUCGAGCGGCAGCGAGUUUUACACUGAAUUUUUGAGGCUCCUGGUUUAGAGAGGAGAAUCAUUCGAGAAUUUUGUGUAAAAUGUCGGCGAGCGGCGGACGGCUGAGUAACGCGUGGGAAUGUACCCCAAAGUGAGGGAUAACGCACCGAAAGGUGUGCUAAUACCGCAUAUGAUCUUCGGAUUAAAGCCUUCGGGCGCUUUGGGAACAGCCUGCGUCAGAUUAGAUAGUUGGUGAGGUAAUGGCUCACCAAGUCAACGAUCUGUAACUGGUUUGAGAGGAUGAUCAGUCAGACUGGAACUGAGACACGGUCCAGACUCCUACGGGAGGCAGCAGUGAGGAAUCUUCCACAAUGGGCGAAAGCCUGAUGGAGCAACGCCGCGUGCAGGAUGAAGGCCUUCGGGUUGUAAACUGCUUUUAUAAGUGAGGAAUAUGACAGUAACUUAUGAAUAAGGAUCGGCUAACUACGUGCCAGCAGCCGCGGUAC
RNAcentral lists this ribosomal RNA (537 nucleotides) under uncultured bacterium. RNAcentral's name for it is "bacterial SSU rRNA". It matches the Rfam family "Bacterial small subunit ribosomal RNA", at positions 9 to 523 of the family's 1533-position model. The record is from RNAcentral.